RNAcentral lists this ribosomal RNA (301 nucleotides) under uncultured bacterium. RNAcentral's name for it is "partial 16S ribosomal RNA". It matches the Rfam family "Bacterial small subunit ribosomal RNA", at positions 509 to 809 of the family's 1533-position model. The record is from RNAcentral.
CAGCAGCCGCGGUAAUACGGAGGGGGCUAGCGUUGUUCGGAAUUACUGGGCGUAAAGCGCACGUAGGCGGCUUGGUAAGUUAGAGGUGAAAGCCUGGAGCUCAACUCCAGAAUUGCCUUUAAGACUGCCGAGCUAGCAGGUGAGAGAGGUAAGUGGAAUUCCGAGUGUAGAGGUGAAAUUCGUAGAUAUUCGGAAGAACACCAGUGGCGAAGGCGGCUUACUGGCUCAUACUGGACGCUGAGGUGCGAAAGCGUGGGGAGCAAACAGGAUUAGAUACCCGAGUAGUCCCUGUCUCUUAUAA